This 35-nucleotide transfer RNA is filed under the name Horsfieldia punctatifolia. RNAcentral describes it as "partial tRNA-Leu". Lineage: Eukaryota; Viridiplantae; Streptophyta; Magnoliopsida; Magnoliales; Myristicaceae. The record is from RNAcentral.
GGGGAUAUGGCGAAAUUGGUAGACGCUNCGGACUU